GGUCAAGUGAAUAAGCGCAUAGGGUGAAUGCCUAGGCGAUAAGAGGCGAUGAAGGACGUUGUAGGAUGCGAUAAGUCGCGGGGAGUUUUCAAACAAACUUUGAUCCGCGAAUUUCCGAAUGGGGAAACCCAAUCUGCAUAAGCAGAUUAUCUUGCUCUGAAUACAUAGGAGUAAGAGGCGAACCGGGGGAACUGAAACAUCUAAGUACCCCGAGGAAAAGAAAUCAAACGAGAUUCCCUAAGUAGCGGCGAGCGAACGGGGAACAGCCGAGUCUUUUGCGAUAGUGGAACAGUCUGGAAAGUCUGACGAUACAGGGUGAUAGUCCCGUACACGAAAUCAAAAAGGAACGUAUUAAGUAGGGCGAUGCACGUGAAACGUUGUCUGAAGAUAGGGGGACCAUCCUCUAAGGCUAAAUACUACUUAUCGACCGAUAGUGAACUAGUACCGUGAGGGAAAGGCGAAAAGAACCCCGGAGAGGGGAGUGAAAUAGAUCCUGAAACCCUAUGCGUACAAGCAGUAGGAGCGGACUUGUUCCGUGACUGCGUACCUUUUGUAUAAUGGGUCAGCGACUUAAUCUUAGUGGCAAGCUUAACCGAGAAGGGGAGGCGUAGCGAAAGCGAGUCUUAAUAGGGCGUUUAGUCGCUAGGAUUAGACCCGAAACCGGGCGAUCUAUCCAUGGCCAGGUUGAAGGUGGGGUAAUACCUACUGGAGGACCGAACCCACGUAUGUUGAAAAAUGCGGGGAUGAGCUGUGGAUCGGAGUGAAAGGCUAAUCAAGCCCGGAGAUAGCUGGUUCUCCUCGAAAUCUAUUUAGGUAGAGCCUCGUGUAUAACUGUUGGGGGUAGAGCACUGUUACGGCUAGGGGGUCAUCCCGACUUACCAAACCGUUGCAAACUCCGAAUACCAACAAGUUUUAGCACGGGAGACACACGGCGGGUGCUAAGGUCCGUCGUGAAAAGGGAAACAGCCCAGACCGUCAGCUAAGGUCCCAAAAUCACUACUCAGUGGGAAACGAUGUGAAAAGGCCCAGACAGCCAGGAGGUUGGCUUAGAAGCAGCCAUCCUUUAAAGAAAGCGUAAUAGCUCACUGGUCGAGUCGGUUUGCGCGGAAGAUUUACCGGGGCUAAGUAGUGUACCGAAGCUACGGAUCGACGUUAAUUUAUUAACGGAGGUGGUAGAGGAGCGUUCCGUAAGCCUGCGAAGGUCAAUUGAGAAGUUGGCUGGAGGUAUCGGAAGUGCGAAUGCUGACAUGAGUAACGAUAAAGGGGGUGAAAAACCCCCUCGCCGAAAACCCAAGGUUUCCUGCGCAACGUUAAUCGACGCAGGGUUAGUCGGGACCUAAGGCGAGGCCGAAAGGCGUAGUCGAUGGAAAACAGGUUAAUAUUCCUGUACUUGUUAUAACUGCGAUGGGGUGACGGAGCAGGCUAGAUCAGCUUACGGUUGGAAAUGUAAGUUUAAGCGUGUAGGGAGAGAGUUUAGGUAAAUCCGGACUCUUGUUAAUUCUGAGACGUGAUGACGAGUUUCUCCUCGUGAGAGACGAAGUGAUUGAUGCCAUACUUCCAAGAAAAACCUCUAAGCUUCAGGUUAUAACGACCCGUACCCCAAACCGACACAGGUGGGUGGGAUGAGAAUUCUAAGGCGCUUGAGAGAACUCGGCUGAAGGAACUAGGCAAAAUUGUACCGUAACUUCGGGAGAAGGUACGCCUUUUGUAGGUGAAGCGACUUGCUCGUGGAGCUGAAGAAGGCAGCAUUAAAUUGGUGGCUGCGACUGUUUAUCAAAAACACAGCACUCUGCAAACUCGCAAGAGGAAGUAUAGGGUGUGACGCCUGCCCGGUGCCGGAAGGUUAAUUGAUGGGGUUAUCUUCGGAAAAGCUCUUGAUCGAAGCCCCGGUAAACGGCGGCCGUAACUAUAACGGUCCUAAGGUAGCGAAAUUCCUUGUCGGGUAAGUUCCGACCUGCACGAAUGG
RNAcentral lists this ribosomal RNA (1966 nucleotides) under uncultured Gammaproteobacteria bacterium. It matches the Rfam family "Bacterial large subunit ribosomal RNA", at positions 1 to 1999 of the family's 2925-position model. The record is from RNAcentral. Lineage: Bacteria; Pseudomonadati; Pseudomonadota; Gammaproteobacteria.